RNAcentral lists this long non-coding RNA (225 nucleotides) under Trifolium pratense (red clover). RNAcentral's name for it is "long non-coding RNA (TPRA_LNC014365)". Lineage: Eukaryota; Viridiplantae; Streptophyta; Magnoliopsida; Fabales; Fabaceae. The record is from RNAcentral.
ACUUCGGUUUUUACGAACCGCAGGCCAUGGACUUCGGUUUAUAUAAACCACUCGCUAAAUUACUUCGGUUAAUGUUAACCGAAGUGUUUCUAUAUAUAAAUACUCUGCUGUCAGUUCUUAUUAUUCACAAAACGAGAAUUUGAAAAGCUUACGGAAAGAAGAUCAAUUUUUGACGCAUUUGAGGCUUGAAAUCGAGAUUGAAGCAUCAUCUAAUGGAUUCAACAC